RNAcentral lists this non-coding RNA (55 nucleotides) under Spodoptera frugiperda (fall armyworm). Lineage: Eukaryota; Metazoa; Arthropoda; Insecta; Lepidoptera; Noctuidae. The record is from RNAcentral.
CGCGCUACUCCGGCGCCGGGCUGUGCUCACGAGUCAGGUACCUGAAGUAGCGCGC